This 503-nucleotide ribosomal RNA is filed under the name uncultured bacterium. RNAcentral's name for it is "bacterial SSU rRNA". It matches the Rfam family "Bacterial small subunit ribosomal RNA", at positions 28 to 507 of the family's 1533-position model. The record is from RNAcentral.
AAUCAACGCUGGCGGCGUGCUUAACACAUGCAAGUCGAGCGCGAAAGCGGCUUCGGCCGUUAGUAGAGCGGCGGACGGGUGAGUAACACGUGGGUAACCUGCCCUCGGGUGGGGAAUAACUCAGGGAAACCUGGGCUAAUUCCGCAUAACAUCUCGAGCUCUUUGGGGCAUGAGAUCAAAGCUGGGGACCUUUCGGGGCCUGGCGCCUGAGGAGGGGCCCGCGGCCGAUUAGCUUGUUGGUGAGGUAAUGGCUCACCAAGGCUACGAUCGGUAGCCGGCCUAAGAGGGCGGACGGUCACACUGGGACUGAGACACGGCCCAGACUCCUAUGGGAGGCAGCAGUGGGGAAUUUUUGGCAAUGGGGGAAACCCUGACCAAGCAACGCCGCGUGGAGGACGAAGACCCUCGGGUCGUAAACUCCUGUCGGAGGGGACGAAAGCGAUUGGGGUUAAUACCCUCAGUCGUUGACGGUACCCUACGAGGAAGCCCCGGCUAACUCCGUG